RNA transcript from Antechinus flavipes (yellow-footed antechinus), 2256 nucleotides. It is a transcript of the gene named class I histocompatibility antigen, Gogo-B*0201 alpha chain-like, with no coding region annotated. The record is from RefSeq and is a predicted model, not a curated record. NCBI's taxonomy places the organism in Eukaryota, Metazoa, Chordata, Mammalia, Dasyuromorphia, Dasyuridae. The transcript is spliced from 7 exons.
UGCUUUCAGGGAUCUUGUUUUCUGCCUGCCCACCAUGGGCUCUUACGCGCGCUCUCUCUUUUUGUUGGGGGCCCUGGCCCUGACAGAGACCUGGGCGGGCUCUCACUCCAUGAGGUAUUUCUACACCGGCGUGUCCCGGCCCGGGCUCGGGGAGCCGCGGUUCCUCUCCGUGGGCUACGUGGACGAUCAGCAGUUCGUGCGCUUCGACAGCGACAGCGCGAGUCAGAGGAUGGAGCCGCGGGCGCCGUGGAUAGAGAAGGUGCAGAAUGUGGACCCGGACUACUGGGAGCGGGAGACGCAGAUCAGUAAGGGGAAUGCACAGAUUUCCCGAGUGGGCCUGCAGACCCUGCGCGGCUACUACAACCAGAGCGAGGGCGGGGUCCACACCAUCCAGCGCAUGUACGGCUGCGAGGUUUCCCCGGAGCUCUCCUUCAAGCGCGGGUUUGAGCAGUACGCCUACGACGGGCAGGACUACAUCGCCCUGGACACGGAGACCCUCACAUGGACGGCUGCGGCGAAGGAGGCAGAGAACACGAAGCGCAAGUGGGAGGCGGACAGGAGCUAUGCGGAGAGACAGAAAGCCUACCUGGAGGAAACGUGCGUGCUGUGGGUGAAGAAGUACCUGGAGAUGGGGAAGGAGACUCUGCAGAGGGCAGAUGCCCCUUCUGCCCGAGUGACCCGGCACAGCACCGCCAGUGGGGAGGUGACUCUGCGGUGCCGGGCCCAGGACUUUUACCCCGCGGAGAUCUCUCUGACUUGGCUGAGGGACGGGGAGGAACAGCACCAGGACACAGAGUUCACUGAGACCAGGCCUGCCGGAGAUGGGACCUUCCAGAAGUGGGCGGCUGUGGGGGUGACCUCGGGCCAGGAAGGGAGAUAUACCUGCCGAGUUGUGCACGAGGGGCUGCCUGAGCCCCUCACCCUGAAAUGGGAGCCAGAGUCCUCAUCCCCCUGGAUCAUUGUGGGGGUCCUUGCUGCUGUCCUCAUUGUGGUCAUUGCUAUAGCUAUGGUCAGGAGCUGAGACUUCAGAAACUAAGGCUGCCUCCAGAAACCUCCCCAAGAAACUUGCUCUCCCACAGAGAACCAUCAUAUAUUUUAGAAAAGAACAAGAACACCACAUUUUGGUGUCUGAACAUGGGGCUGACAGGAUCCUGAUCUCAGUGGAAAAACCUCUGAUCCUGAAUCCAGUGGAAAAGAAAUUAGGAGGGUUUGCUUGUAUUUCUACAGAUAGAGAAGGAAACAGAUGGGUGGCAACGAGCACCUGGAGAGAAACAGAAAAAGAGAAAAACCUCAAAACACAGGAGAAGAUUUAAGAAACAUCUAACACUGAAAGAACAUGGCUGACAAUGAGACUGUUAAAAGAACUUUUAAAAUCUUCAGGAAUCAUUGGAUUCCCUAACACAAGAUGAGACUGUUUCAGCAGGAAUCAUUGGAUUCCUUGAGAUGAAAAAUUGUUGAUGAGACUAUUGCAGUACUUCAAAGCUUACAGGAAUUAUUGGAUUCCUGGCACAUGAACUAAUGGACAAUGGACUCCUUUGGGACUAUUUCUAGGACUUAUGUAUAAAUUCUCAUGUUGAUAUGAAUCAACAUAUUGAUUCCCAUAUUGAUGAUAAAUUUAUGUAUACUUGUUUCAAGUGAACCCUUUUGGAAACCUGCUAAUCUGAUUUGAUUUCCCAUUUCCUUUGGUGUUUUCAUCUCCCUUCCUGAGAUGUCAGGGAGGGUGUGACCAUCUUCUAUUGUAUUUUCACUUCUUUUUUGAGUAGUCAGAGAAGGCGUGAUCACCUUCUUUUUUUGGGUUCUCACCUCCUUGAGAAGUUAGGGAGGUCAUGACCACCUUAUGUUCUAAAUCAAAAGAAAAUGGGAGAUGUUAGAAUCCUUACAAAAUGAUGUCAGUUGCCUAAUUUAGCAUGGUACUUAGCAAAUUCUCUAGCUCACUAAUGUAUUUAAGCACUAAUUAUUCAGUAUGAGAUUCACAAGUCAGAAACUCAUAAUCCCACUCCCUCAGAGGAGGAGUCAACCUUUGAGUUCACACUUCUAAAAGAGCAUAAAAAGGAGCUGAAUUAGUAAAGUGAGUCAGUUCAGAAGAAGCCUACUCUCGGAGUUAGAGCCAGAUUCAUUCACCCCAUCUCAUAACACCGUGGUGGCAAGCUCUCCUCCUUUGCUUCUCCACUGAAAGAUAGGCCUCUAAGAAAGCUACCCGGGCCCAAGGAAAGAGACAAGACUUGGAAGGAGAAAAUAAACGUUUGGAUUUUAUCA